This is a long non-coding RNA of Esox lucius (northern pike), 836 nucleotides long. The record is from Ensembl. NCBI's taxonomy places the organism in Eukaryota, Metazoa, Chordata, Actinopteri, Esociformes, Esocidae.
CGAAGGCCUUUUAAACGUUAAUUGAUUUUUGGAAUAGCCUAAUCGAAACAGGGGUUUAACCGUGGCAAACUAAAAUGUAGAAUGGAAUCAAGAGCGUUUCAAAUGACAAGAGAACAGGAACCUCCUCGGAGCCAUUGUGAACACCUGCUCUCCGAGAUCGGGCCUCAUUCUCAGAGCGGCCGGGCGGAAGUCCUCGAGACAUCCCGAGGGACCGCCUCCGUGUCCUGAACCCGCACUUCUGUCUGCUCACCUUGGAUACCGCCUCCGCCGUCCCAUGAGUCACACUGCACCCGGGAGCCCUGGUCCAAGUCAACCGGACCCGGAAGGAGGACCCAGGCCCGCUCUGGAGAUAUUAACGGCAGGGCUAAACUGCGGCGGCUGUGGACUUUUAGUAUCUGGAAUUACACAAUGCACUUCAAGCUGAGGCAUUCAUUCGUUCUUUUUUUCUUGAUACUGUCUGUAUUUGUCCAGUCUGAAUCACCUUGUCAGACCUGAACACUCCACAUGUGGGGGAUUAAUACAUUUGUAUUGUAGCGUGCAGGUGGUCGAACAGUCGGGCGGUAUGAAGAGUUUGUUCCUGGGAAGAGAAUACACAUCUUUUAACAGCACAUGCAGCUAAAAUACGGGUAACAGACUAGAAUGGGGUGUUUAUAUUCAAGUGUGAAGCGUAAAAAGGCAAGAGAUCAAACAAUGUAUGGGCCGAAACAGGAAAGACAAUGAAUUGGAAGGAUGAAGAACAUGGAGGCAUACAUAUAGUUUGAGAAGAAAAGCAAGAGAAAACAAAAACAAAACGUCCUACAGGCCUACGAAGGGUAGCCAGGGUAAGACCGUAAAAG